RNAcentral lists this ribosomal RNA (252 nucleotides) under uncultured Bacteroidales bacterium. RNAcentral's name for it is "partial 16S ribosomal RNA". It matches the Rfam family "Bacterial small subunit ribosomal RNA", at positions 524 to 776 of the family's 1533-position model. Lineage: Bacteria; Pseudomonadati; Bacteroidota; Bacteroidia; Bacteroidales. The record is from RNAcentral.
UACGGAGGAUCCAAGCGUUAUCCGGAUUUAUUGGGUUUAAAGGGUGCGUAGGCGGAAUAUCAAGUCAGCGGUAAAAAUUCGGGGCUCAACCCCGUCGUGCCGUUGAAACUGGCAGUCUCGAGUUGGAGAGAAGUAUGCGGAAUGCGCGGUGUAGCGGUGAAAUGCAUAGAUAUCGCGCAGAACUCCGAUUGCGAAGGCAGCCUACCGGCGCGCAACUGACGCUCAUGCACGAAAGCGUGGGUAUCGAACAGG